Molecule: long non-coding RNA, 238 nt
Organism: Bufo bufo (common toad)
Lineage: Eukaryota; Metazoa; Chordata; Amphibia; Anura; Bufonidae
Exons: 3
Source: RefSeq, a predicted model, not a curated record
ACACCCUGCUUAUCACUGCUUAUAGUAUAAGGACAGGGGAGAAGACAGGAGAGGUGAGGACUGAUUAUCUAUCAUCACUAGAACACCCUGCUUAUCAUUGUUUAUAGUAUAAGGACAGGAGAGAAGACAGGAGAUGUGAGGACUGAUUAUCAGCACUGGAUCAUCCUGCUUAUCACUGUGUAUAGUAUAAGGACAGGAGAGAAGACAGGAGAGGUGAGGACUGAUUAUCAGCACUGGA